AGCGAACGUUAGCGGCGGGCCUAACACAUGCAAGUCGAACGCGAAAGGUCUUCGGACUGAGUAGAGUGGCGCACGGGUGAGUAACACGUAGGUAAUCUACCCUUUGGCGGGGAUAACGUUCCGAAAGGAGCGCUAAUACCGCAUAAGACCACGGAGUCUCCGGACGCUGUGGGAAAAGGUGGCCUCUUCUUGAAAGCUACCACCGAAGGAUGAGCCUGCGUCCCAUCAGCUAGUUGGUAAGGUAAUGGCUUACCAAGGCGAAGACGGGUAGCUGGUUUGAGAGAAUGAUCAGCCACACUGGCACUGGAACACGGGCCAGACUCCUACGGGAGGCAGCAGUGAGGAAUAUUGGGCAAUGGGCGAAAGCCUGACCCAGCCACGCCGCGUGAGUGAUGAAGGCCCUCGGGUCGUAAAGCUCUGUGGGGAGAGACGAAGAAAGCCUGUGAAGAGCAGGCCUUGACGGUAUCUCCUUAGCAAGCACCGGCUAACUCCGUGCCAGCAG
RNAcentral lists this ribosomal RNA (502 nucleotides) under uncultured bacterium. RNAcentral's name for it is "bacterial SSU rRNA". It matches the Rfam family "Bacterial small subunit ribosomal RNA", at positions 29 to 514 of the family's 1533-position model. The record is from RNAcentral.